AAGUCGUAACAAGGUCUCCGUAGGUGAACCUGCGGAGGGAUCAUUACUGAGUGAGGGCCCUCGGGCUCGACCUCCCACCCUUUGUGAACACAACUUGUUGCUUCGGGGGCGACCCUGCCGUUCGCGCGGCGAGCGCCCCCGGAGGCCUUCAAACACUGCAUCAUUGCGUCGGAGUUUAAGCAAAUUAAACAAAA
Molecule: unclassified non-coding RNA, 194 nt
Filed under: plant metagenome
Description: partial contains small subunit ribosomal RNA and internal transcribed spacer 1
Rfam family: Eukaryotic small subunit ribosomal RNA (bases 1-46)
Source: RNAcentral